AGAAUCUGCACCAUUCCUCCUGAUAAUGUUGAGCCAGGAAGGUCACUUCAACAGGAAUGAGUCUUUGAUAAAUGUCACUCUGAGGUGCAGGAACCUUCAUGGUACAGGCAAUGUUGAGAGUUCCAGCUGCUCCAUUUCUGCACCACUAGAUAUUUUGUGUGUGUCCAUGUGUGUGGGUAUGCAUAAUUUUGAGUAAUUUUAGAGGAUGCUGAAGAGUAAUUUCUGGUUUGAAAAUGAUGAGCAAAUUUCAAAUACUUAUCAGACAUUUGUAUAUUUCAUUUUUCUUGUAUUGUUUCUCUUGCUUGUUCAGUAUUUAAAUAUAUUGUUUUUCUUUUUAUUAAUGAGACUCCUUUAUAUAUUUUGCAUAAGAGUAUGUGUUAUGCGUAUUCUACCAGUCCAUAGUUUGCCUGUUCAUUUUUUAAAUAAUAUAUUUUGAAUAGAAAAAAAUUAAUUGGAAUUCAGUUUAAUUUUCAUUAGUUUUUGAUGAUUGAUUUAUAUGUCUGGUUUAAGAAAAUGCCUAUGACAAGGUUAAAGGGACAGUACUAUUUUUUUUAUGGUUCUAAAUUUUAGGCUUAGGUUUAUGAUCCACCUCAAACAAAUAUUUGUGUAUGAAUGAGUAGAAAUCUUGACUAAUAAUUUUCCAUGUAGCUUUCUAGAUGUUCCAAUACCAUUUGUUCAAAAACAUUUCCAAUUUCCAUUGAAUUGAAUUAGUGCCUUUGUUGAUAUAUUUACUUGACUAAACAUGUGUGGGGUUAUUUUUUAACUCUGGGUCCAUCUCUUUGAUUUUUAUGUCUAUCCUUAUUCUAAUAACACAUUUCCUUGAUAAUUAUUGCAUUAUAGUAGUCAUUAAAAUGAGGUAAGUCCCCCAAUUUUGUUUUCAUAUUCAAUAUUGUUUUUGCUAUUUUUUUUAAAGGGACAUAGUCUUGCUCUACUGUUCAGGCUGGUCUUAAACUUUUGAACUGAAGGAAUUUUCCUACCUCAGCCUCCUGAGUAGUUGGUACUACAGACAUGAGCCACCAUAUCUGGCUGUUUUUGCUAUUCUGUAUAUUUCCACAUAAAUUUUAGGAACAGCUUUCACUACCCUCUUGGCCUUUUCAUCUGUUCAUUCAUGUGGUUAUUCUUGCAUUAGAUUUUUAAUGUAAUUAUUAUGGGUAUUUAAAGUAGGCUUAAAUUCUUAAAUAAAUUCCAGAAUAUGGCUCAUUUCUGGAUACAUUCCUAUUGAAUAUUUAAUCCGUUGCCCACGUAGACAAAGUUUUGCUUCCUAACAUAUCCAUAAGUUUUUUGAUUGUGUGAUGAAUAUUUUGUGCAAAACAAGAUUAAAGAUUGAAGUGAAUAAUAUUUAUCCCCCAAAAUACAAGUAACUUUUUUCAUCAGGUUACUGAUGCUGGGAGAUGUUGUCAUCUAAUCUUUGGUGGAGCUACUUCUAGGAUUUAUUGAGCUACAAUAUAUUAAAUUUACUACUGGCUUCAAAUAUUUGAAGUGGGGGUGAUUAAGAUUGUCCUUUUAAAAGUCUAGGAUCUUUUAAAAGGAAAGGGUUGAGAGCCUUAGAUACUAUUUUUUAAUUUUAUUGUAAAUUGGCACUUUAUAAUUGUAUAUUUAUGGGGUACAAAGUGAUGCUAUGAUCCAUUAGUAUGAUAUGGAAUAAUUAAAUCCAGUUAAUUAACAUAUAUAUAUUACUUCAAGUAAAUAUUAUUUUUGUGGGGAGAACAUUUUAAAUUUACUCUAUUAGCAAUUUUGAAAUGUACAAAACAAUAUUAUUAACUAUAUUUACCAUAUUGCGGGAUAGAUCUCAAAAAACCUGUAUUCCUCUUGUCUGAGAUUGCAUAUUCUUUGAUCAUCAAUUCCCGACUCUCCCUUCCCUCAGUCUCUGUAAAACCAUUAAACUCUUUGCUCCUAUGAGUUUGAUUGCUAUAGAUUCCACAUAUAAGUGAGAAUAUGCAGUAUUUUUCUCUCUGUGUUUGGUUUAGUUCAUUUAGCAUAAUGUUCUCCGAUUCCGUCUACAUUGUCACCAAUGACAGAAUUUACUUUGUAAGGCUGAACAGUAUUAUUUCAUUGUGUAUAUAUACUAUACAUUUCUAAUCCACUCAUCUGUUGAUGGACAUAUUGCUUCCGUAACUUGGAUAUUGUGAGUGUUGCUGCAAUGAACAUGAGAGUGCAGAUAUCUUUUAGAAAUUCAUUUUAAAUGUUUUGGGUAAAUACUCAAAAGUAAGAUUAUUGGAUCUUGUUGUUCAUUCUUUUUUUUUGGAACCUCCAUACAGUUUUCUAUAAUGGUUAAUUCACAUUCCCAGCAACAGUGUACAAGUGUUCCAUUUUCUUCACAUUCUCACCAACACUUGUCCUGUUAUCUUUUCUCUUUAUCAUAAUAGCUAUUCUUACAGGUGUGAGAUGAUAUCUCAUUGUGGUGUUAAUUUGCAUUUUCUUUUUUUUAUUAUUAUACUUUAAGUUUUAGGGUACAUGUGCACAAUGUGCAGGUUUGUUACAUAUGUAUACAUGUGCCAUGUUGGUGUGCCGCACCUUAACUCGUCAUUUAACAUUAGGUAUAUCUCCUAAUGCUAUCCCUCCCCCCUCCCCACACCCCACAACAGACCCUGGUGUGAUGUUCCCCUUCCUGUGUCCAUGUGUUCUCACUGUUCAAUUCCCACCUAUGAAUGAGAACAUGCAGAGUUUGGUUUUUUGUCCUUGUGAUAGUUUGCUGAGAAUGAUGGUUUCCAGCUUCAUCCAUGUCCCUACAAAGGACAUGAACUCAUCAUUUUUUAUGACUGUAUAGUAUUCCAUGGUGUACAUGUGCCACAUUUUCUUGAUGCAGUCUGUCAUUGUUGGAUAUUUGGCUUGGUUCCAAGUCUUUGCUAUUGUGAAUAGUGCCGCAAUAAACAUACGUGUGCAUGUGUCUUUAUAAC
RNAcentral lists this long non-coding RNA (2897 nucleotides) under Homo sapiens (human). Its description in RNAcentral is "HSALNT0139617". Lineage: Eukaryota; Metazoa; Chordata; Mammalia; Primates; Hominidae. The record is from RNAcentral.